Molecule: long non-coding RNA, 412 nt
Organism: Daucus carota subsp. sativus
Lineage: Eukaryota; Viridiplantae; Streptophyta; Magnoliopsida; Apiales; Apiaceae
Exons: 3
Source: RefSeq, a predicted model, not a curated record
GAUGUGCCAUUAACAGCAAGGAGGAUUGUGUUAAAAUCUGCCUGCCAGAAGUGGAGGGAGUUCAAGAGCCGUUUAACAACGAAUUAUAUUCUACCUUUUCGUGAACAACCUGAGUUGCUUGCACAUCCACCGGCAGACUAUACAUUUAUUGAAAAGCCACAUUGGGACAUUUUUGUUGCCGAUCGUUUAUCUAAAGAUUUUCUAGAAAUACACAAUAAGCAGAAAGGUAGAAGGAGCUUGAAUCUAUAUGGUCACUACAUGUCUCGGAAGGGUUAUGCCAACUUGGAACAAGAAAUUUCUGGUGGUGAUCCUGAAAUGGAGAUAGACCGGGCAAGUACAUGGCUCCUUGCACGGUGUGAUAAAGCUGGGAAGUAUAAGUCGAAAAAAAUUGAGACCAUUGCUGAAGAUAUUG